UACGGUUCUUGUUCACCGUUGCGGCUAUAACUUGCACCUCACUCACCCUUGCCUUGGCUGCCACAAUACUUGGAGACAGCUACUCUACUCCCACUCUGUGACCAAAGAUGGCCGAUUCCGUCGUCUCCUGGCUGAUCGGUACGUUGAUGGACAAGGCUAAAGAGAAGGUGGCCUUGUGGUUGGGAGUCCCCGAGGAGAUCAAAAAGCUCCAACGCACUCUCCGCAGCAUCCAGUCUGUCCUUCUUGACGCCGAGAAGCGAUGGAUCGAGGACAAGGCCGUCAACGACUGGCUGAUGGAGCUGAAGGAUGUCCUGUACGACGCCGACGACCUCCUCGACGAGUGGCGGACCGCGGCCGAGAAGUGCACCCCGGGAGAGCCCUCUCUGAAGCGGGUCAAACGCAACAUAUCUUCCAUCUUGUUCAGAAAUGACGUGGGCAUCAAUAUCAAGGAUCUCAACGAUCGGCUGGAAGAGAUCUCGGCCCGAAGGUCCAAGCUGCAACUCCAUGUGUCUGCGGCCGAACCAAGGGUGGUUCCUCGAGUUAGUCGCAUAACUUCCUCCGUGAUGGAGUCUGACAUGGUUGGCGAGCGACUGGAGGAGGACUCCAAGGCACUGGUGGAGCAGCUGACAAAGCAAGAUCCGAGUAAGAACGUGGUGGUGCUGGCAAUUGUGGGGAUCGGCGGCAUCGGAAAGACCACCUUCGCUCAGAAGGUGUUCAAUGAUGGUAAAAUCAAAGCCAGCUUCCGCACCACCAUCUGGGUGUGCGUGUCCCAAGAGUUCAGCGAGACGGAUCUUCUCAGAAAUAUCAUCGAAGGUGCUGGUGGAAAAUAUAAAAGAGAACAGAGCAGGAGUCAGCUGGAGCCCACGGUGGAGCGUCUCCUGAGAGGGAACAAGUUCUUGCUGGUGUUGGAUGAUGUUUGGGAUGCUCAGAUCUGGGACGACUUGCUCCGCAAUCCUUUGCAGGGAGGAGCAGCAGGGAGCAAGGUGCUGGUGACCACCAGAAACGCAGGGAUCGCGAGGCAAAUGAAGGCGGCCCACUUCCACGAGAUGAAGCUGCUGCCUCCAGAGGAUGGCUGGUCGCUCCUGUGCAAGAAGGCGACGAUGAAUGCAGAGGAGGAAAGGGAUGCCCAUGAUCUCAAGGACACAGGCAUGAAAAUUGUUGAGAAAUGCGGAGGGCUUCCCCUGGCCAUCAAGACCAUCGGAGGGGUCCUCUGCACCAGAGGACUCAGCAGAGAUGCGUGGGAGGAAGUUCUCCGCAGCGCCGCAUGGUCACGGACCGGGCUUCCCGAAGGUGUGCACGGAGCACUGAAUCUGAGCUACCAAGACCUGCCGGCCCAUCUCAAGCAAUGCUUUCUCUAUUGUGCCUUGUUCCCCGAAGACCAUGUGUUUCGUGGGUCUGCCAUCGUCAGAUUAUGGAUAGCCGAGGGGUUUGUCGAAGCACGUGGAGAUGUCUCGUUGGAGGAAGCAGGGGAGCAAUAUCAUAGAGAGCUGCUUCGUAGGAGCCUUCUACAAUCGCUGCAACCUUUCAGUCUGGACUACGAUGAGUAUUCCAAGAUGCAUGACCUGCUGAGAUCUCUCGUCCAUUUCCUAUCGAGAGAUGAGAGCUUGUUCAUUAGUGACGUGCAAAACGAGUGGAGAAGUGCUGCCGCCACGAUGAAGCUGCGUCGGUUGUCGGUUGUGGCCACUGAAACCAUGGACAUCCGGGAUAUCGUCAGUUGGACCAGGCAAAAUGAGUCGGUGAGGACAUUGUUAUUGGAGGGAAUACAUGGCUCUGUGAAGGAUAUAGAUGAUUCCUUGAAGAACCUCGUGCGACUUCGAGUCCUGCACCUUACUUACACAAAUAUCGAUAUUCUACCGCACUACAUCGGAAAUUUGAUACACCUGAGAUACUUGAAUGUGUCUCAUAGCCGUGUAACGGAGCUUCCAGAAAGCAUAUGCAAUCUUACGAAUUUACAGUUUUUGAUCCUCAGAGGAUGUGAUCAGUUGAGACAUAUCCCCCAGGGUAUGGCUAGGCUAUUCAAUCUAAGGACACUCGAUUGUACAUAUACACAGCUGGAGAGCUUACCAUGUGGAAUAGGAAGGUUGAAGCACCUCAAUAAACUCGGAGGAUUCGUCGUGAACACCGGUAAUGAUGGUAUGUGCCCAUUGGAAGCAUUAUGCGGCCUCCAGGAACUCAGAUACCUCUUCAUAGAGAGGUUGGAGAGGGCGUGGCUGGAAGCUGAACCGAAAAGGUUUACGAGCAUAUUAAAAGGUAACCAUAAACUGAAGAAUCUAUAUUUGCAUUGCUCAUCCACACUGACAUCCGAUGGUCACACGGAGGAAGAGAUUGAAAGAAUGGAGAAGGUGUUGGAUGUGGCACUUCAUCCACCAUCAUCUGUUGUUUUGCUCAGUUUAUUGAAUUUUGGCCACCGGUACCCCAGCUGGAUGGCGUCUGCAAGCAUCAGUUCGCUUCUUCCAAACAUAAGCCGCUUGGAACUAAAUUAUUGUGUUCAUUGGCCACUGCUUCCACCGCUAGGAAAGCUCCCCGGUUUGGAGUUUCUUUUCAUACGAGGUGCACGUGCAGUGACCACCAUCGGACCGGAAUUUUUUGGGUGUGAAGCUGCUGCUUCUGGUCAUGAACGGGAACGGAAUUCAAAGCGCCCUUCUUCUUCUUCUUCUUCUACUUCUCCUCCUUCGUUGUUUCCGAAACUAAGGCAGCUGGAACUCUUGGAUAUGACUAACAUGGAAGUGUGGGAUUGGGUAGCGGAAGGUUUUGCUAUGCGUCGCCUCGACAAAUUGGUCCUCGGAAAUUGCCCCAAGUUGAAGUCUCUACCGGAAGGCCUGAUCCGACAGGCAACCUGCUUAACCACAUUGUUUCUGGCCGAUGUGUGUGCUCUCAAGUCCAUCAGAGGUUUCCCUUGUGUAAAAGAAAUGAGUAUAAUUGGUGAAUCAGAUCUGGAGAUUGUUGCUGAUCUCCCUGCACUGGAGCUCUUGAAUUUGGGACUGUUUGGGUGUCGCAACAAUCAUUUACCAGAGUGGUUGGCGCAACAAUCAUUCACUACGCUCCAGAGACUGGACGUGCGGGGAACCACCCAAAUACUCCGCAGAUGCCUCCAAAAUGGCGCAGACUGGCCCAUGAUCGAACGCUUUCCAAUUUUUUCCAUCAGAGAUUUCCGAGGCAAUUAUAUAAACUACAUCAAGCAUUCCUGCACCUUCGACACAAACCUAGUCGAUGAUGAUGCUGCUGUUGCUGCUGAAGAAGAAGAAGAAUAAGAAGAAAAAAGAAGAAGACAUCAAUGAUCUUUGAGGUAACUUACCUUUCAUGCUCACGUCUCCACCAUCUAACGUCUUCUGGUUUUGGAGUGGUAGGGAGAUCGACAUCAUUCACGAUGUAAUCGGCAGUCAUGUCUAAUAUGAUCAUUGCAAAUGGAGCUGACCAUGGAAAGUCCGAGACUUUUGAGCGGAAAUGCAGAUCGAGAGGUUUCUGUUGGGUACGCGUGAGAGCUCAGUCGAGAUCGAUUGCUUCCUCCGUCUCUCUCUCUCUCUCUCUCUCUGUAGGUCGAUCCUUAGCAGCUUAAGCGCAUUGAGUGCCUCGUUUGAUCGGCCGACAACCUCAACUCCAUCGAUCGCAAGUCUGUUACUAGCCUCGCAGGCUGAUUGAAAGUAAAUUGUUGUCCUGUGCUUUGGUUGCAAUUUUGGCCUCACAGUGCCAGUUGUUACAACUCAUUAUUGAUCUCUGUGGAUUUUACUAGUUUUUCAUUGGUUGUCGAGAAAUAGUGGAGCCAGCUCG
Molecule: RNA transcript, 3768 nt
Organism: Musa acuminata AAA Group (dessert banana)
Lineage: Eukaryota; Viridiplantae; Streptophyta; Magnoliopsida; Zingiberales; Musaceae
Gene name: putative disease resistance protein RGA3
Exons: 3
Source: RefSeq, a predicted model, not a curated record